GACGAUAGCUCAGCUGGUAGAGCACCUGUUUGGUAUGCGGAGGGUCGCCGGUUCGAUUCCGGCUCGCG
This 68-nucleotide transfer RNA is filed under the name Fasciola gigantica. RNAcentral describes it as "tRNA-Thr". It matches the Rfam family "tRNA", at positions 5 to 66 of the family's 71-position model. From Rfam's summary of the family: Transfer RNA (tRNA) molecules are approximately 80 nucleotides in length. The record is from RNAcentral. Lineage: Eukaryota; Metazoa; Platyhelminthes; Trematoda; Plagiorchiida; Fasciolidae.